RNAcentral lists this ribosomal RNA (468 nucleotides) under uncultured bacterium. Its description in RNAcentral is "partial 16S ribosomal RNA". It matches the Rfam family "Bacterial small subunit ribosomal RNA", at positions 28 to 507 of the family's 1533-position model. The record is from RNAcentral.
GACGAACGCUGGCGGCGUGCUUAACACAUGCAAGUCGAACGGAAAGGCCCUGCUUUUGUUGUGUGCUCGAGUGGCGAACGGGUGAGUAACACGUGAGUAACCUGCCCUUGACUUUGGGAUAACUUCAGGAAACUGUGGCUAAUACCGGAUAGGAGCUCCUGCUGCAUGGUGUGGGUUGGAAAGUUUCGGCGGUUGGGGAUGGACUCGCGGCUUAUCAGCUUGUUGGUGGGGUAGUGGCUUACCAAGGCUUUGACGGGUAGCCGGCCUGAGAGGGUGACCGGCCACAGUGGGACUGAGAUAGGGCCCAGACUCCUACGGGAGGCAGCAGUGGGGAAUAUUGCACAAUGGGCGGCAGCCUGAUGCAGCAACGUCGCGUGCGGGAUGACGGCCUUCGGGUUGUAAACCGCUUUCGCCUGUGACGAAGCGUGAGUGACGGUAAUGGGUAAAGAAGCACCGGCUAACUACGUG